UGGGGAAUAUUGCACAAUGGGCGAAAGCCUGAUGCAGCAACGCCGCGUGAGCGAUGAAGGCCUUCGGGUCGUAAAGCUCUGUCCUAUGGGAAGAUAAUGACGGUACCAUAGGAGGAAGCCCCGGCUAACUACGUG
This 135-nucleotide ribosomal RNA is filed under the name uncultured bacterium. RNAcentral describes it as "partial 16S ribosomal RNA". It matches the Rfam family "Bacterial small subunit ribosomal RNA", at positions 355 to 507 of the family's 1533-position model. The record is from RNAcentral.